This is a long non-coding RNA of Rhea pennata, 234 nucleotides long. RefSeq lists it as uncharacterized. The transcript has 2 exons. The record is from RefSeq and is a predicted model, not a curated record. Lineage: Eukaryota; Metazoa; Chordata; Aves; Rheiformes; Rheidae.
CUUGUCCACCUUGAGGUUGGUGGCUGGAGAAGUGGAGCAUGGCAAUGGUUUCACAAUUGGACACCAGAUCCCGAGCUCAGUUUCACAAUGAAUUUGCUUCUCGGCAGUAGUCCAUCUUCCAGGCUCUUUUGAAAUCUGUCUCCUCCCUGCUGACUGUCUUCAGCUCCCAAAGGAAAAAAUGCAUAAUGGCGCAUCGGGACAGAAAGAUUAAAAAAAGAGAUUUCUGGAAGACAA